This is a long non-coding RNA of Petromyzon marinus (sea lamprey), 2765 nucleotides long. RefSeq lists it as uncharacterized. The record is from RefSeq and is a predicted model, not a curated record. Lineage: Eukaryota; Metazoa; Chordata; Hyperoartia; Petromyzontiformes; Petromyzontidae.
GGUAGAGUAGUGAGUGGUAAUAGAAAGAUACAUUACAUUUAUUUAUAACUAGUUGAAAGACCAUGAUAACCACUCAACCAGGAUGAAGCGGUGGCACAGUGGUUAGCGCACUGCACGACGAACCCAGCGACCUGGUUUUGAUUCCUGCCCACGGCGAACAACAGUGGCGAGUGACAUCUCAUCAGCUCAUUGCGCACCCCUCCUUUCAUCAACCUUGCACUGACCAGUUUGGUGAAGUCUGGCUAAACAAUCCCCUUCGUGGCACGGGCUGUAAAUUAAAGAUGUAGUUUUUUUUUGAGAGCCAAUAAAGACCAAAAUGUGUUUGUGCCAAGGGCGACUUGGGUAAUACUGUUCUAAUAAUGUGACGAUCGCGAGGAUGACAAUGUUGUUGAAUAUCAGAGGCUAACGGGUGUGGGGGGCAAUAAGGGAACACGUCCAUGGAGACAAAGCUGUCAAAUUGAAACAGCAAUUAGUUAUUUUUUACUCUGUUCUAAAGAUUCACAAAUAGCAGUUGCGCACCUUGAUCAUGACAAAUUCCUCAAGACACUGUUGGCAGGGAGAGCCCACGGUUAAUGUUAACUUGUGCUGAGCAAACUCAGGCACUUUCUAUCGCUGAAUACGCAAUGCUGCAGACGCAAAUGGCAGCAGCAGAUAGGGGCCACACUGCACUGAUGCGUCCUGUUCAGGGAGGCUUUCGGUAUAGGGUGGCCUCGUUUGGCCUUUUGUUGCUUAAAAGAAAAAAAAUCCACAAUCUCAGCUCUUGGGCUGGUGGUUAUCAGAAGGAAUACGUGCAGAAUAUGUGCUGUAUGAACGUUGAUCCUCUUUCGCGCCGUACCUAGCCAACCGUGCUCAUCGGUGGUGCGCGAAGACAACACACUAAACACAAAAAGCGGGUCGACAUCAAUGAGUUUUCAAGCUUGAUGAUUUACAAGUGCACAGCUCCAGUAGCUUCCUAAUAUCGGACGGAGGAGCGUUCCAGACGGCUGCAGAAGGGCAUCUGAAAGCGCCAAAAGCUGCCGCGAGGAUGUGCUGGGAUGGUGUUGUCAUCCUGACAUGCAAAGCAUGUCGGGAUUCCUGUUAGCCUUUGCCACUGAAGACACCUCCUCUCGCAUACUGUGCAUUAUCACUGUGAGAAGUAGUCGUGCCGUUCAAGCACACGAUCAAGUGCUUACCGGACACAAUAGCUGUGGUAGAGGCAAUUAAGCUGCUAAACUAAGGGGGCAAUGAUGGAACAAUGAAACCUAAGGGUGCCCUCACGGCGAGCCUCAUACCUUUCACUGCUAAUGGUGCCGGCUAAAGGUACAUAACUGUGGGUGAUUAUGUUUUGGUUUGUAAUCCUACAUUCCGAUCAGCUUAAUUGCAUCAACGCAUUUGAAAAGCAGAGUUCGUUGGUCGCGCAGAGCCUUCGAACACCGUGGUCUCUGCUUUAACAGCACAGCACAAAGACGAUGCAAAUCACAGGGGGGUGCUGCGGAGACGCCGAGGGGAGACGGGAGGGCGAGAUGGAAGGAAAUGAUGCGGUGGAACGAGACACGAGGACGGUGGAUGUGACUAAAGAGACCAAUAGCAAAUGAAGAGUUGGUGCUCCCGCAUUGCCGGAGAGCGAUGGGGAACCUGCCCACCCCUUUGGAGAGGUUGGCGUCUGGACAUGGGACGGCGAGACAGCGGAAGGGUGAUCCGGCACUCCCUGAGAGUAACCCGCUUCUAGACUGCCCUUUGAAGAGACGCCAAGUGGGAGCUGAGCCCCGGUGACCACAGGUGACACGUGUGCUGCCGUUGCCCCCAGUCCCGGCUCAGCCUGGCCUGCUCGGGUGGUCUGACAGCGAAAGGCGUCUUCCAUCUUCAAUUAUGCGCAAGAGGCUCGCGUGGCGUGUGACUUUUGUUUUUCAAUUCUCGUGGACGUAACGCAAAUGAAACGCACGAUUGUUACGUGGUACAUUUACGCGAUCUAACCCCCCCCCGCCCCAAAACCCCCCUCUAUUAUGUAUAAUGUUUGUCGCGAACUCCUAUGUGUUAUAAACUAUGUUCAUAUUUGUUAUGCAGGGGAAUAGAUUUAUUGACACUCCACUGAUUUCUAACAAGCCGUUUCUCUCCACAACAUGUGAUCGGAUCAUCCUGUACAUGAAAACCUUUCAUGUGUUGACGUUUGCUGUUAUGAUGUUUAUCUCUGGGUUGUGAUGUGCCACACUAGAACCUGCUUGGUGUUUAAUAUUUUGCCGUUCAUAAUGUUUCAUUCUGUUUUUUUUUAUUUGUAUGGCUAAAGCUUUUAGCUGUUGUGACAUUUCCUGUUGUGAUUCACGCUCCUUUUAAAAUUGUUCCGCUGUUAAGAUAUUUACCUUCAUGAUGUUUUAGUUAAAUUUUCAGUUGUAUUCUAAAUGAUACUCUUUGGUUCUUUCGGUACAGUCACGUAGGUAAAAAAUAAAAAAUAAAGCUAAUCAAAUCACGACAUUUCGGAGGCAACACAAGCUUCUGUCAUCCUUUAUUUAACCAGUCACGAAAACGUCAAAUCUAGAAGUAUUCUCAAUUACUUUAUGUAACUCAUGCAGGUCACCCUUGAUUAUGAUACGAGACUGGUUAAAUAAAGGAUACGACUAUGCUACUGUGUGACGUUUUAACUCGGCAUACUAAUUUGGCGCAGCCAAAUCUGCUUUCUGCUACUCCAGUGGCUUUUCUUUAGGCCAGAUGUCCCUUGAACAAGACCCUUCUGGUCCUAACGGUCUCUGCAACUGGUCUUAAAUAAAGAAACGUUAUUGCACGUGAUUACA